CCCCCAAAAUGCCCCAAAUUCCCCCAAAAAUCUCAAAAUUCCACCCGAAAAUUUCAAAUUUCCCCCCAAAACCCCAAAUUUUCCCCCUAAAUCCCCCAAAUUCUUCCCAAAAAUCCCCAAAAUUCCCCAAUAAUCCCCAAAAUUCCUCCCAAGUAUUUCAAAUUUUCCCCCAAAAUCUCAAAAUUCCGCCCAAAAAUUUGAAAUUUCCCCCCGAAAAUCUCAAAAUCCUCCCCAAAAUCCCCAGAUUUCCACCCAAAAAUCCCCAAAAAUUUCAGAUUUCUCCCCCAAACCCCCAAAUUUCCACCCAAAAAGCCCCAAAAUCCCCCGAUUUCCCCCCAAAAUCCCGAACCUGCGUCCGCCGCCGCCUCCGGCUCCCCAAAAUCCCGUCGGGGCCCCUCCCCCACCCAGGAAACCGCGGCCGCCGUGGGGCAGGAAAUGUGUGGGGUGGGGGAGGGGCGGAGAGAGACGCCGAGAAAAAUUUGGGGGGGUCUGGAAUUUAUUGGGGGGGUCCGGGACCCCCAAAUGUGGGGCUGGGGUCCCAAAUGUGGGGCUGGGGUCAGUUGGUCACUCCUGGUCACUCUGGGGUCACUCUGAGGUCACUUUGGGGUCACUCCUGGUCAUUUUGGGGUCAUUUUGGGGUCACUCAGUGGUCACUCAGACGCUUGGGUGGUCACUCUGGUGGUCACUCGGUCACUCCUGGGUGGUCACUCCCAACUGGUCACUCUGGUGGUCACUUGGAGACUUUGGUGGUCACUCCAGGGUGGUCACUCCAG
This 773-nucleotide long non-coding RNA is filed under the name Cyanistes caeruleus (blue tit). Its description in RNAcentral is "lncRNA (ENSCCEG00000001398.1)". Lineage: Eukaryota; Metazoa; Chordata; Aves; Passeriformes; Paridae. The record is from RNAcentral.